UACGGAGGGUGCAAGCGUUGUUCGGAAUUAUUGGGCGUAAAGCGCGUGUAGGCGGCUAUUUAAGUCUGAUGUGAAAGCCCGGGGCUCAACCUCGGAAGUGCAUUGGAAACUGGAUAGCUUGAGGUCGGGAGAGGUUAGCGGUACUCCCAGGGUAGGGGUGAAAUCCGUAGAUAUUCGAAGGAACACCGGUGGCGAAGGCGGCUACCUGGACCGAUACUGACGCUGAGACGCGAAAGCGUGGGGAG
RNAcentral lists this ribosomal RNA (245 nucleotides) under uncultured Desulfuromonas sp. Its description in RNAcentral is "partial 16S ribosomal RNA". It matches the Rfam family "Bacterial small subunit ribosomal RNA", at positions 524 to 768 of the family's 1533-position model. The record is from RNAcentral. Lineage: Bacteria; Pseudomonadati; Thermodesulfobacteriota; Desulfuromonadia; Desulfuromonadales; Desulfuromonadaceae.